This 271-nucleotide transfer-messenger RNA is filed under the name Burkholderiales bacterium. RNAcentral describes it as "partial transfer-messenger RNA". It matches the Rfam family "transfer-messenger RNA", at positions 1 to 271 of the family's 374-position model. Rfam says of the family: Bacterial tmRNA, also known as 10Sa RNA or SsrA, is named for its dual tRNA and mRNA-like properties. Its role is to liberate the mRNA from a stalled ribosome. Lineage: Bacteria; Pseudomonadati; Pseudomonadota; Betaproteobacteria; Burkholderiales. The record is from RNAcentral.
GGGGCCGAUCCGGUUUCGACGUGGGUUGCAAAGCAGUGAGGGCAUGCCGAGGGCUGGUCACCUCGUAAAUCCAACCGGAAAACCACAAACGCCAACGACGAGCGUUUUGCUCUCGCAGCCUAAAAAACUAGCGAAGCCGCUACACCGGUGCUUCCCUCGACCGGAGCGGGACCUCAAAAGCCCGCGGUAGCGUCAUUCAGAGGGAAUCGGCGUGCGUCGGGUUACUUGGCGCCCGCUUAAAUCUAGGUGACUCGCCGCUGUCCGGCCUGCC